Molecule: long non-coding RNA, 4153 nt
Filed under: Gallus gallus (chicken)
Lineage: Eukaryota; Metazoa; Chordata; Aves; Galliformes; Phasianidae
Source: RNAcentral
GGGGGGGGCUGCGCCAUGGCGGCUCCGGUCACCCCGGGACAGCCCCGGCGUCCGCCCCGCGCUGUGUGACCAACCCCGGCAUCCCGUCCGACCCCGUGUAUAACUCCAUCAUCCUGCACCAGCUCCCGUGAAUGGGGCAGGUGGAAAUGUCAACCCCUCCGGGGCGGCCGUGGGGCUGAGCUGAGCUGAGCGAGGAAAUCAUUCUCCUUUUGCUUUCCCCUCCGCGGAUCUCAGCUGUACCCGGAGCAAAGCCCCGACACGGACAGCGCGGAACGAGAGCGCCCUUCUGCUUCCUCUUUGUAUUCCCAUCCGAGAUCACGGGGACGUGCUGUGCGGGAUUCUGACGGACGCAGUGAUGGCCGCUCAGAGCGUCGUUCCAAAGCAGCAGCCGGCAGAGCUCCGGUCACCAAAGCACCGCACAUCUCCUUCCUUCUGCUUAUCAGCACAGCGCCUGGCGGUGCUCCUCACUGUUGCUGGCCAUAAAGGGGACUGUGAUGUAAUUAACGACAUAACGAUGCCGCUGGUCCGGGGGACACCGGGCUCAGCCACCUUUGGUCACCUUGAAACCAAAUAUAUUUGGAACAUGCCAUCUUCUGUGCAGCUGAGAAUUGCCUCCCACCCCAAUACCGCACACGGACAUCAACGAGGACAGUCACCCUUCCUGGCAGCAGGGAGCCCUCCUGACCCAUCGCGUGGCCAUGCCAUCGCAGCGUGCUCACGAGUGCUUUUUUGAGCAGCACUAUCGCUGCGUGUCGGAUGAACACACAAAAAGGAAGAACUGUCCUUCAGUGGCAGUUAAUACUGGAAAGCAGUGCCACACACAGAGCAGUGAUUCUCACGGGAUUGUCAGAUCACAAAGGUGGGAAAAGAUUUCCAAGAUCACCAGGUGCAACCCCAACCCAUCCUUCAGCCAUGUCACAGCCCAAUGGGAUCAAGAUCACCGAGGUUCCUUCAGCUGUAUCACAAACCAACAAAAUCCGGGUCACUGGGGCUCCUUCAGCCAUGUCAUGACCCAACAGGACUGGAGCCAUUGGGGUUCUUUCAGCCAUGUCGUAGCCCAAUGGGUUUAGGAUCAUUGAUGUUCAUUCAGCUGUGUCAUGACUCAACGCGACUGGGGCCAUUGGGGUUUUCAUGUCAUGACCCAAUGGGAUCAGGGUCAUUGGGGCUCCUUCAGCCAUGUCAUGACCCAGCAGGACUGGAGCCAUUGGGGUUCUUUCAGCCAUGUCACAGCCCAAUGGGUUUAGGAUCACUGGUGUUCAUUCAGCUGUGUCAUGACCCAAUGGGACUGGGACCAUUGGGGUUUCCAUGUCGUGACCCAAUGGGAUCAGGGUAGUUGGGGUUCCUUCAGCCAUGCCGCAGCCCAAUGGGAUUGAGGUCGUUGCAGUUCAUUCAGUUGUGCCAUGACCCCCCUCAUAUUCUUUUCCUGAAUAUUUCACAGCAUGAACAAAGUGAUAAUUCUAUAGGAUUAAGCUUGCACCCAUCCAUACUACCAAUUCCUCAGCUGAAAUAUCCCCAGAUCCCAUUUAUAAAGCACUCAGAUCGACAUCUCGGAUGUCUUGCUGUAAAUCCUCAUAUUUAUAUACAUAAGCAUGUCCACAUAUGACUCUAUAUAAGUGAGAUUAAUUACAAAACUUGAGGUGCAUACCUUCCAUACCCAUUGUUACAGACUGCAGCUCUAUUCUAAGGACAACGCAGAGAUCCCUUUGGAGGGGCCAUGUGCCAUGCGGACAGGACAGGGGUUAUUUGGGUGAAAGCAUCCUGAAAACACUCAGCUUCCAGUGCCAUCACCCCUACGGGAGGACUUCAACUUCAUUCAAGUCAAUGUUCAUUGAGUUUUGUGGAUGGGGCCGAAGUCCCCCAGAGGUACAGACGAAAAGAGGGACGUGGGUUUUUGCUUGAGGAUUAGUCUUGUUUUUAAUCGGGUAUCCACAGAUUCUGAUGGGAUAAUACAAAGCCAAAAAAAGAGCGAUACAUACUGAGCAGCAAUCUACCCUUCUAGCACAGCCCGCCCAAUUACAAACACUUUAGAAAAAAGGACAUGUUUUUACAUGUGGGUUUGUGUGAAAAGGGCCACUGCAAAGGAAAGAAAAACCCGGCGAUCGAUCUGCCCGUAUCGCCACGGUGCCUUAAAAACUCCCUUCCCCGGGGGCUGCAGAGGAACUGGGGUGGGUGCAGCAGUUCCACCACUGUUGGGCCAAUGUGAGCUCAUUGCUGCCACCGCUUCAUUGACUCCUUCCUUUUUCAGUGCCUGGGUACGUUCAGGAGCAGAUGUGUUGCUCUUCAAACCUGUGCUGCUUCGCUUUCCUCAUCCACGUGUCCGUGUGUCUCUCAGCAGAAGGGUCUUUGGAAAAAAGGGAGCAGUGGAGGUGAGGGGUGCUCUCUCCACUCACACUUGUGCAGUACGGUGCGGUGUGAGUGCUCCUAAUGGAGCAGCAGCAUCUCAGCUUCAUUCCCUGGGUCAUUGCUGUGAGCCAAGGAGGAUCACUGGGUGGUCCUGAAUGGGAGCAGUUCCUAAAUUGGCCCAAACAAAGCAGUUCAGCUGCGUAAAUCCACUGCCUGAUGGGCAGAAAUGGGGCCUGGUCUGCAUCAGGAACAUCAUCUGGGAGAGCAAUGGGGUGAAAAGAGAUGGAGCUGAUUCAGUUUCCGUUGGUAAAGGUAUGUCUACGUGCUGGCAAAAGGCUGAAUGGAAAGGUGCUUUCACUACCACAUUGCUUUCAUCUCUUUAUUUCCUGCUGGUAGAGCAGAUUUGCUCUGAGGAUCUCCUACAGUCUGCUCUCCGUGGAAAAGUCAGCACCAAACCUUCCAUACAUCGAUUCCGAUCGCAGCGCUCUAUGAAACAGCAAAAAAAUGUGUCUGAAGUCACUUUGGAUUCCUCUUGGCCCUUCGUCAGCUGCUCUACGGUCGCUGAGUCCCAUCAUCAGGGCUGGCAGCUCUACACCACCACCGCUCCAUCGUCUGUCCCCAGUUUUUGUCUGCUGUCCUCCGGAGUUACCAUCAACGUCUCACCUCUGUCGCAGCAGGACAUGAAUUUCUAACAGCAUUUUCAAGAUGAAUGCAGCUCUUUUUGCAUCCAUUUGCCCCUCCACCCAUCCCUUGACCAUCCCAUGGCAAUGUGUUGAAGCCCGUGCUGCUCUACCAUCCCUGAUGCAUUGCAGUGUAGUUAACUAUGGGACGCUGCCAACCCCAUUGCCGUGUCCUCAGCAAAGAGUUUCACUUAGCAUCUGAAUUGCUCUCUGAAACAAUAAGUUAAUGAUACAUUUUUUUGUUGCUAUCAAAAUGCACUUUUUACAUUUAGUUGUACCUACAUCCCUUGUGGGUUUGGCUGUACCCACAUCCAUUGGGCUGUGCCCGUACCCUUUAUGGGUUGGGCAUUCUCAGACAUCCAUCCAGCAACAGAACGUUGACACACUCCGAAGGUUUUGUGAGAAAUAAAAGUAUGGGGCAUCCUACGUGAAGUGCUCCAUCAGAAAGUGCCCUUCAUGAAAAAGAAGUUGCAAAUGGACUCGUGUUCACACCGCGUCUUAUGCGUCUCACAGGGAAGUCAGUGCAUCCUCGCAGGCAACUCUUGGCCCAAAGGAACCUCUUGGGGAUGCUUGGAAACCGGGGACGUGUCGUCUUCAGGCCUGUAGCUUUUCUGGAGUGGUAGACCCAGUGACUCUUCUUUGGAAAAGAAUCGAUAAAGGAAAAAAAGAACCCAACAACAAAACCCCAAACAGUGUUCUUAGGGCACCUCUCGGGGUCACAAAGUGGUGCAUUUCAUGGACUGUGGACUGUGAAGCGGUCCCAACGCCACGUGUCCUCCGCAUCCCUUAUCCCCCCACGCUCUGUAGCAGCACUGCUUCCCAUUGUGUUUCACUCUUCACUGACGUUUUUAAUAACUACAGAUGUCAAAAGGGUUUUUAGAGCUGAGCUUUGACGCUAUCCAACGUCCCACCCAUUUGGUUGCAAACUCCACUCCCAGCAUCCAAUUGCAUUCUUUUGUGGAAAGCAGAGCAGAUUUGUUUUUUUUUUUUUCUUUUCCCUAAAUGCAUUAAAAUGGUCCAAAAGCACAGAAGGACAACCUCAGUGUUAUCGACAGGAGAUGGCAAAUUCCCACCCUACCCCAGGGAGAUCCCCAGUGCUUAUGGGAUGAGCUGAAGCCCACAGGAUCCAG